GGGAACUCAAAGGAGACUGCCAGUGAUAAACUGGAGGAAGGUGGGGAUGACGUCAAGUCAUCAUGGCCCUUACGACCAGGGCUACACACGUGCUACAAUGGCGCAUACAAAGAGAAGCGACCUCGCGAGAGCAAGCGGACCUCAUAAAGUGCGUCGUAGUCCGGAUUGGAGUCUGCAACUCGACUCCAUGAAGUCGGAAUCGCUAGUAAUCGUGGAUCAGAAUGCCACGGUGAAUACGUUCCCGGGCCUUGUACACACCGCCCGUCACACCAUGGGAGUGGGUUGCAAAAGAAGUAGGUAGCUUAACCUUCGGGAGGGCGCUUACCACUUUGUGAUUCAUGACUGGGGUGAAGUCGUAACAAGGUAACCGUAGGGGAACCUGCGGUUGGAUCACCUCCUUACCUGAAAGAA
This 411-nucleotide ribosomal RNA is filed under the name Salmonella enterica subsp. enterica serovar Kentucky. RNAcentral's name for it is "bacterial SSU rRNA". It matches the Rfam family "Bacterial small subunit ribosomal RNA", at positions 1133 to 1533 of the family's 1533-position model. The record is from RNAcentral. Lineage: Bacteria; Pseudomonadati; Pseudomonadota; Gammaproteobacteria; Enterobacterales; Enterobacteriaceae.